UCGUAGUGAACUGCGGAAGGAUCAU
RNAcentral lists this ribosomal RNA (25 nucleotides) under Ourisia calycina. RNAcentral describes it as "partial 18S ribosomal RNA". Lineage: Eukaryota; Viridiplantae; Streptophyta; Magnoliopsida; Lamiales; Plantaginaceae. The record is from RNAcentral.